Molecule: non-coding RNA, 118 nt
Organism: Equus caballus (horse)
Lineage: Eukaryota; Metazoa; Chordata; Mammalia; Perissodactyla; Equidae
Source: Rfam
GUCUACGGCCAUAGCACCCUGAACGAGCCUGAUCUCGUCUGAUCUCGGAAGCUAAGCAGGGUCGGGCCUGGUUAGUACUUGGAUGGGAGAAUUAAAGAAAGCUCAUUAAUUAUAGGAA